RNAcentral lists this long non-coding RNA (1734 nucleotides) under Anas platyrhynchos platyrhynchos (common mallard). RNAcentral's name for it is "lncRNA (ENSAPLG00000026148.1)". The record is from RNAcentral. Lineage: Eukaryota; Metazoa; Chordata; Aves; Anseriformes; Anatidae.
UCCAGAGGUAUACAAAAUACUUUGUGCUAAACUGCCUUUGUAGAAGCAUAGGAAGUAGCAGAAACACAAGAAAAAUGUUCUAUUUCUUACAGGUCUGGAGCGGAUAUUAUGCAAUCCCUACAACUCUACUGGUGCACGCUGCCUUGCAGGGAAUGAAGUUAAGCCAUCAAAAUAUUCAGACAAAUAUUGACAACUAGCUGUGCAAACUGAGCGUUUCCUCUGCGAACUAUGAAUGCAGAGGGGAAGAGGAUAAAUGGCAUAAAACUGGCCAACAUCAGAGGAUGUUCUACAUCAAGACACAUUCCUGGAUGAGUUAUACUGCCUGAGAAGAGUAAAAAUCUCAUGAAAAGACGGAAGGAUCUAGUGAAACAGUGCAGAGGCAUGAAGGACCAUGCAGGUGCAGCUUCAUACUGGAACAGUCUACCGAUAUUUUCCUCUCGCAAUGACUUAUUUGGUAGCAAUCGUGAAGGAUUCUUAGAAGAACAGACCAUUGGGCAGGAUGAAGAACAAUGCCUCCACAAAUGCAGGCUGAUGCUGGCUGGAUCUACAAUCCUGUCCUGUGCUCCCCCCUGGGCUGGAAGACAAACGAGAACACCUCAGGAAGAACCUGACCGAAUAACAGUGAUGCCAGCUGGAAAGGCCACCCAUCAUUUUCACUGCAGUAGGGCUAACCUGCCAAGAUGCCACAUUAGCAGCACUAAGAAAAGUGAAAGACCCCCCCAAAUCUGCUUUGCCUCUUGCAGGGACUUGUACCUUCAUGUCCACGUUAUGGGUAUGCCUGCACAGCACCAUGAAGGACAGACAUGCUAAAAACAAAAGGACAUAGUGAAGCUCCUCUGCAGCUAGACAAUGUUAAGAAAGCAGAGCGCAGUGCUGACCAACCAUUCCAUCAAGAACCAGUGCCUGGGAUUCUUGGGACACAGCACAGCCAACGUUUGCCAUGAAUGAGGGAGCAAACCACUCUGGAGCAGGUAAUGACACCUGGUUUGGAUGACAUAAUGCUUUUCAUCCAAGUGAUCCGAAGCAUUUUGGAAGCUAAGUACAAGCAUUAGCUCACCAGGUCAACAUUAACAAGUCAUUUAAGGCUGUAAAGUUAUAUUGUCAAUAGAUCCUGACAGAGGGGGUUAGAGAAUUACUGAAACUGCCCACAUCCAAUGAAAUGGGAUGCAGUUAGCAGAAAAAUUAUUGAGAAAUAUGUGACCAGAAUCUGAACCUAAACAGCUAUAAUUUUGAAGAAGAAUUCAAAAAAUUACAUACCCUCUGCUCUCCCAAAGAUGAAAUAUUACAAUGCUGGACAAGAACUUCAAAUGAUAAAUCCAUGAUAGCAGGCUACAGCAUUGACAGGGGAUGACACACAGCAGUGUGAAAUCCGAGCAAUACACUUAUUUACUUAUUUAUUUAGUCUUCAGAAAUACCAUCUGUAUCUAUGCCCUGGCAGAUUCUUACCUGGUAAAAAGCUUUUACAUGUUUUUAUGUACAUUUUACAUGUAACUUAGGUGUUGCAACAACUUUUCAGGAUGUUUGCAGUUACCUCUGUCACAAUAUGUUACUACCAUUUGUCACCAUCAAGACAGAAUAACAGAGAAAUGUAGAAAUGUUGAAGAGAGCUUAUAAAAUUCUGGUGAAAUUGGACCAUGCUAUCCCCAAGGUACAAGCCACCCUGGAGUUAAUAACACUGGAUUUUGCCUUUAGCAAAAAAUUAAAAAAAAUAAAAAUAAAAAAAUUAAAAAAUCA